GCGGGCUGGCUGGGAGGAGUUCGAGGCUACCACCGUGCUCGUCGUCGCUGCUGCAGCCGCUCUCGGGCUCCGAGAAGUGCAGCCCGCCGUUGGUGGACGAGGCGCCGCUGCCACCGCCGCCCGCCGGGCUCUUGGCGCUGCCGUUGGCCGAUCGGUUCUUCCCCAGUAACUCGGGCCCUUUCUCCAUCAUGCCGGGCAUGGUAGAAGAGGGGAGGGGGAAAGGGGAAGAAACCAGUAAUGAGAAAGGAGCUGAAGAAACAAGAGCAGAGAGAGAUUAACUGAUGGAGCAAGACUUUGAAGAAUGAAGGAGCAACAAGGACAAGGUGGCUGGAUUGGUCUUGACCAAGAGGCAGUACACUUCAUCCUCUGAGACUAGAGAAAGCUAAAAAAGAGAUACUUGGAGGGUUCUUCAGAGAAGAUGGAUCCAUCUAUCAUCUAUCUAUCUAUCUAUUUAUCCAUCUAGCUAUCGUAUGUAUAUUGGCUCCUGUGAUUAUGGAGACUGGAAAGUCCCAAGAUCUGCAGGGUGAGUUGGCAAGCUGGAGACCCAGGCGGGCAGAUGGUGUAGUUCUAGUCCAAAGAGCCUAUGAUUCAGCUCAAGUCUGAAGGCAGGAAAAAUGCUGAUGUCCCAGUUCAAAGCCCAUCAGACAGUAGGAAUUCUCUCACUUGGAAGAGGUUCAGCGUUUUUGUUCUAUUCAGGUCUUCAACUGAUUGGAUGAGACCCACCCACAUUGGGGAGAACAAUCUGCUCUACUCAGGCUAAGGAUUUAAGUGUUAAUCUCAUCCAAAAACUCCUUCACAGAAACACCCAAAAUAAUGUUUGACCAAGUAUCUGGGCACCCUGUGGACCGGUCAAGUUGACACAUGAAAUUAACCGUCACAGCCUCUUUAUGCUAUGUAUACUUAGGAGAACAGUAUUCAUCCCCAACCUACCUCUCAGGUUGCCCCUUCCCCACCCUCCCAGAGGAAAAAUCAUUGUAACACUCUUGUUUCUGGAAGAUAUGGCAUAUUUACUUUGUAAGUUUUGUGAACCCACCACUGAAUAUCCUUAGGGGUUUAACACCUCACUGUGAAUAAUACUAUUUUAAACAAGUCUUAUGUAAUUGUAUAUUUUUUUCUCUACAAACACAUAUAAAACUAUUUCCAAUUUCUGUGGAAUGGAAUAAAAUAUAAAUAUACAUGCAAUUAUUUUAACCAACCAAAUGUUUUAAAUUUUUAACUAUUAUGA
Balaenoptera ricei (Rice's whale) is the source of this 1225-nucleotide long non-coding RNA. RefSeq lists it as uncharacterized. The record is from RefSeq and is a predicted model, not a curated record. The transcript has 3 exons. NCBI's taxonomy places the organism in Eukaryota, Metazoa, Chordata, Mammalia, Artiodactyla, Balaenopteridae.